Molecule: ribosomal RNA, 324 nt
Filed under: uncultured eukaryote
Lineage: Eukaryota
Description: partial 18S ribosomal RNA
Rfam family: Eukaryotic small subunit ribosomal RNA
Source: RNAcentral
CCCUUAGAUGUCCUGGGCUGCACGCGCGCUACACUGAUGUGUCCAGUAAGCACCUAACCUCUUCCGAAAGGAACGGGUAACCUUUGCAAAGCACAUCGUGAUGGGGAUAGAUUAUUGCAAUUAUUAGUCUUGAACGAGGAAUUCCUAGUAAGCACAAGUCAUCAGCUUGUGUUGAUUACGUCCCUGCCCUUUGUACACACCGCCCGUCGCUCCUACCGAUUGAAUGUUCCGGUGAGCUCUUCGGACUGCGCGGUCUGCAGUUUCUGCGUUCCGUGCGGAAAGUUGCGCAAACCUUAACAUUUAGAGGAGGGAGAAGUCGUAACA